UACGGAGGGUGCGAGCGUUGUUCGGAAUUAUUGGGCGUAAAGGGCGCGUAGGCGGUGCGGUAAGUCACCUGUGAAAACUCUGGGCUUAACUCAGAGCCUGCAGGCGAAACUGCCGUGCUGGAGUGUGAGAGAGGCGAGUGGAAUUACGGGUGUAGCGGUGAAAUGCGUAGAUAUCCGUAGGAACAUCCGAGGCGAACGCGGCGCACUGGACCACAUCUGACGCUGAGGCGCGAAAGCUAGGGGAGCAAACAGG
RNAcentral lists this ribosomal RNA (253 nucleotides) under uncultured bacterium. RNAcentral's name for it is "partial 16S ribosomal RNA". It matches the Rfam family "Bacterial small subunit ribosomal RNA", at positions 524 to 776 of the family's 1533-position model. The record is from RNAcentral.